Molecule: ribosomal RNA, 231 nt
Filed under: uncultured Staphylococcus sp.
Lineage: Bacteria; Bacillati; Bacillota; Bacilli; Caryophanales; Staphylococcaceae
Description: partial 16S ribosomal RNA
Rfam family: Bacterial small subunit ribosomal RNA
Source: RNAcentral
AGUAACACGUGGAUAACCUACCUAUAAGACUGGGAUAACUUCGGGAAACCGGAGCUAAUACCGGAUGAUAUUUUGAACCACAUGGUUCAAAAGUGAAAGACGGUCUUGCUGUCACUUAUAGAUGGAUCCGCGCUGCAUUAGCUAGUUGGUAAGGUAACGGCUUACCAAGGCAACGAUGCAUAGCCGACCUGAGAGGGUGAUCGGCCACACUGGAACUGAGACACGGUCCAG